This is a long non-coding RNA of Pezoporus flaviventris, 5004 nucleotides long. RefSeq lists it as uncharacterized. Lineage: Eukaryota; Metazoa; Chordata; Aves; Psittaciformes; Psittacidae. The record is from RefSeq and is a predicted model, not a curated record. The transcript is spliced from 3 exons.
CAGUCUUAUAAUGUCAUUUCCUUGCAGUAUGAGGUUUUUGAGAAGACAGCAUUCUGUGAUUCUCCCCUGAGUGCCUUUCCAAAAAAGAGUCCCCAGAGCUACACAACAGUUUAGCAAGGGAAACAAACCUAGAAGGACAAAGAAGCAGAAAGGAAAGGAAGAAAAUAAGCAAUGAAGAGACAUACCUGUUGCAUGACACUCCUCUGGCAGAAAAGAUCUUAGACACAUAUAUGCACGUGAAAGAAAAUCAUGUCUUCCAGUAGCAAACAUAGUGUGACAGGAGACAUCUUCAUCCUGUCACCUGAUGUUUUCAGAACAUUUCCAUUGGAAAGCUUGCUCCAGAUUACAUGCUGGAAGAUGUUGAAUGACACUCAGUGGAGUUAAAAGGAGGGGUAACCUUUUACAGGGUCCAUAACCCAGAUUUGCUCUGAAAGAAGUUUGGAGAAGUCUGGAGGAGACUGACCCAGGCAGCCUGUCCCAACCCCAAACACUGACUGGAAUGAUGUCUCCUUGAGAGCUUUAUUCCACACUUGGAGCUUGUGUACACCCACUGUGUGUUUUUCUACAUGCUUCCUUUUCAGUUCAGACAGGGGGAAGCAGAUAUACUUCUACUUUCCUCUCUUCAGUAAUUAAUCCAGGAGAAAUGACUAUGUCAUGAAGCACUUGCAAAUUGAGCACACAGUGAUGGGCAGUCUCUAUUGCUUAUUUUGAGUUCAUUAUACCCUCUUUCUUUUCAGGUCAGUCAUAUUAUGUAUGAUUUUGCACCCAGUCUGCCUCUAUACAUUUUGAAUUGUGCUUUUCAGGAUCUGACAUUCAGUCUCAGAAUCUUCAUGUGCACAAAUCAUUCUUUCAUUCUAUCUGCAGAUAGCUGGACUGACGAUAGCAUAUCAUCUGUUUUGGGAAGUUUCUGGAGGUCACCAGUGUCAAGGACCAACAAUUUGCAUUAUCUCCUUUAUUGUGUGUAUUAAGUUUUUCAAAAUAAUAUUAUUUAACUACCACAUGGAAACUACAAGCAUUCUUGACAUUUAUGCUUGUUGCAAACAUUGUAUCCUCUUCCCCAAUUUUGAAAUUGUUAUAUAAAUAAGAAGACUAAAAAUAUUUCUUAUUUUAAAAAUCUGGGGAAGAUGGAAAUAGAUUCUUUUUUUUUUUUGCUUUUUCAUUCAAGGAACACAUUUAUAAGAAAAAGAUAACAUUUUAAGUAGAAGAUGAAUUCAUGUAGAAAAGUUAAUAAUAUUAAUUUUGGUUAAUUUUGUAUCUUUUUAAUAUACAAAAGUUUUAGAGUAUCAUACUCACAGCUCCCAGCAGUUAAAUAUCCUCAGUAAACAGUUGAGAUUAGACAGCUCUUGAAGUGGCACAUUCCAGCCUUGGACUGGAAGUAUGAUUUCUGUAUGUUCUGCUACUGCUUAUCAUAUCCUCAUCUGAUCUUCAUAAAAAGGCCGGCUGAAGUAUUGCUGAGCCUAUGGAAACAUGAACAAGUGUUUUCCAGUGUUAUCCCAGCAAUGUUUUAGUUGAUAGGAUAGUACUUCUACUCCCAUGGAUUCCAGUCUUGAUGGAAGUGACUGGUGUUCUCUGUCAUACUCUAAUGAGUAUUUGAAACGUUAAGUAUGAACAAUGCAUUUGAAUUAUGGGAAAAAUUUGUCCUUUACUCAAAAGACCAUUCUCCAUGUAACUGCUGCUCUAUUAGUUGGAUAUAGUGAGACUGCAAGCUCUCUAUGAGCUUUUGCAUAUGGGGCCAGAAAUAAACUUCCAUUCUAUAAGAAAGUAAGUUCCUUUUUGCAAAUCCGUAUGAAUUGCACUACACUAAUGGCAGAAGCCACAAUUCCCCUUUUAAUUAAAAUCAUGUUAUAGUAAAAAGACACUUUCUCACUUAUUCUGCAGUUUUAAAAUAAACUAGUGCAGUGGUUUGAGCCUGAUGUAGGUAAUGUUCAUGGAGAAAAGCUUCAUCCACUUAUUACUUGGGCAGUUUCUAUCUUCUUGGGAAAAGAGAUGUGAAAGAUUUGACCCCUGACUGCUUUCCAGCAGUUUGCUGUGCAUUGUAGUAAGUAAACACAGAAUUGUUGCCUCUUUUUUACAUUCUUUCACUAACUGUUCAGAGAAUGAAAUGUUCUCACACUAGAGUCAAAGCCAGGGCACACGCUGCCCUGUGCACCUAGUCUCGUGUAUUUUGAAUAAAGCAUGAAUGUUCAAAAUACACAAAAUUCACAAGCAUCUGUGAAAAAACAAUAUAAGUACUGUUGUUCACAGCCAGUCUAAAGGAGCUCUUCAGACCAUAAUGAGGAGUCCACUGCAUAGCCAUAAUGUUCAGAGGAUGGAAAAGAAAUUGUACUACUCGGGUUCAUGUUGCCUGAACUUAAACUCAGAGUUUAUACCAGGCAGGACAGGAAACUUGCUUUCACCUCAGAGAAACAUAUCCUUGAAAAUCAUAUGAACACUUUGGUGACACACGCCUGUGUAUUAGGAGCAGAGAACAAAUCUUAACCUUGCGAGUUUGUGUAUGUCUGUUAUUCCUGGCCCUGGAAGUAGUCUGAUUUUGGAUUUUUUUUUUAAUACAGUUUUGUGUUUGCAGAGGGAUGGUUUGUACAGAGUUCCCUGGUGCUAGUUACAUCAGCAUUUUAUAGGCUGCUCAUGUAAACUCUUGAGCGUUCAUGGCUCUCUCAGUAUUAGCUUUUUAAUACAACACAGUUCAUAUUGGCUUUUACUGCUGUUUAAUUUAGGUUGGCUGAGGUUUUUUUGUGGCUCUUCAACAGCAAGGAAUGCGGCCUAUGCUUGUUUGAAAUUUUUCUUGUCUGUGUAAACAUGCUAUUGAUGUUCUUUUUAAUUCUUGCAUAUUGUAACACUCUCUAAGACCUAAACUUGCCUAUAUUUCUCAUGCAGAUAAUUACAUAGCAAACCCAGAUCUCCUAUUACAGGUGGGAACCCAGAACUUUUAGGUAGUAACUGGAAAUCUUUCCUACCUUUGUACCGUAUUUUGGAUGUUCCACAGAUCCAGACAUCCAUAGCUGAAUUGUCUAAAUUAAUCAUUCUUAGCAAGUAGUGCACCUUAUUCAAAGGACACAUGCAAAUAAUUCCCAGCCAAAUGUUAGUUAUUGGCUUUUGAGUUCACUUGCUUUUUAAGUGAUCCCAAUAUCAGUUCUCUGUUCUGGGCAUCUGAAAUGGUUUAAAGCAACAUGUGGUUUUUCACCCUCCUGUAAACAAAAUGCAAUUUCUAACUAGGGUGAAAGAAAAUGUAAAAGUGUAUUUUGUUUUGGUUAUUCAUGUUUAUAACAGCAUCUUGACUCAACAGAUAGAGAAUUUUCUAUCUAGAAAGAUCUUUCUUAAUAGUUAUCUAGAUAAAUUUGUAUGGGUAACUCAGAUAGUUCAAGAAAAGCCUGUGUAUAAGAUGCUGGGAGGAGCAAAGCUGAUGUUUUCAUAAGUCUUAUGAGGAAAGGAUGUUCUUUCUUGUGCAUUAAUGUGCUUCAUCAGAAUUUCUGGGAAGCUGUCCAGCUAUACAUAGUAAAUAUUUCACAUACCAGUAAAGUGAUUCCUCAGCAAUUCAAGCAAUCAGCACAAAUGAGACUUAAUUUAUGGUGAAUAGCUGCACCUGUUAAACAGUGAAAUAGGCUCCUGACAUAAAUGACCCUUUCAUGCUGUUAUUUAGCUAGAUUUUUUAAAAGGUCCUAUCUUUACCAAAUAUAAUCUUAAAAAGAUCAUAAGUUUUAAAACAUAUCCAGGCCUAAAGUUUGAACUUUCAUAUUGAAGAGGCACUAUAUGUGGUUUUGAGCUAAAAUGAAUAUAUUGUAGGGCUCAGAUCAACACCAUCAAGGGAAGGCAUAAAAUGUGCCUAUUACUGAAUUAGGCAUUUGGUUUGUAUAUCUAAUGGUAAAAUCAAUACAUGGUUCCAUCAGAGGAGAGAUCCAUCAGCCUGUGUCUUGCUAGCAUCCAAUCAAGAGAUUGAAUUUGCAAGCUUUGAUGGGAAGAAAUGUUUCUCCAUCUUUUGACAAUCCAUAUUACCCUAAUUCGGACAGCUUUUACACAGAGCUGCACCAGUUUACUCAAGCAUUGCUUUCAAUAUCAUUUCAUUAAAUCAAUGCAAAAGGUUGUGUUGACCUUUUAAAUAUAUAUUUAAAUCUGAUCAGUGGAGCUUAAAUUGAUAAGGAACUGAUUUUAAGCCAGCUUUUAAGGCAAAUAAGUGUGUCCACACGGGGUUCCUCAGCUGUUCAACAAAUUGAUGUGAAAUCCAAUUUAAAUUAAGCUGCUGCAAACAAACCACUGUUGUGUUGUGCACGAGUCCCAGAUGUGCCCUCCAAGUUCUAUGAGAACUUUCUUUUUAACUUGAGCAGAGAACCUGAGGGAGAUGCAGUUAAUGGAGUGGAGUCUGCUCAUCUCUGUCAGAAAGGGAGAGGUGAUUAUAAACCAUGGCAAGAAGCUUACAAACAAAUAUCCAAGGUUCAGCUGAAAGCUGCGUUUAUAAACCUGUAGACUGCCAAAAGAUGGAUGUUUCUUACUUUUCUGUCUUAACAGCUAUAAUUACAGUGAACAAGAUGGCUGGCACUCACCAGACUCCAGCAGGAGGAGGCCUCUAUAUCCCACAGGCUAAAAAGAUCAGCAGUGAGUUUAUAGAAAACCCCCUCUAUUCUGUGUUUGCUAGGGACUGGGAUACUUAACAUUUCCAACCCUCAGCUUGCCUUCCCAGCAGGUCUGGUGCUUUUACAGAGUAGAUUAUUCCUCUCUCCUGAUGCCUCACCAAAGACUUUUACAGGACUGCAGAGGAGCCCGUUUAUCUUCACAACCCAUAAGUCUACAGGGGAAUUACAGAGACUUCUGGUCUUGCAUCAAAGAAAUGGCAGAUGGAAAAUGAGCCAUAAUCCAUAUUAAUUCAUAUAAUGCAAAUAAGAUGGAAUGAAAUGGUGUGGUGGGUUGACCCUGGCUGGAUGUCAGGUGCCCACCAAAGUUAUUCUAUCACUCUCCCUCCUCAACUGGACAGAGGAGAGAAAAUAGAACAAAAAGCUCAUGAUGCAAGGACAG